GGGAUUUGGGAGGAGAUAUAAAUUUUUGAAAUUUUCACCUAAUAUACUGACGGGCCGAUUUGGGCCCGAAAGCCCGGCGGGCUUUUUGGCCCGCGGGCCUCAUGGGCCGGGCCAGGGAGGCCCGGAUUUUUUUGGGCCUUGAAAAUCCUAGCCCAGCCCGGCCAAAACUACGGGCGGGCCUAUCGGGCCGGGCCAUUCU
This 199-nucleotide long non-coding RNA is filed under the name Salvia miltiorrhiza (redroot sage). Its description in RNAcentral is "long non-coding RNA (SMIL_LNC012558)". The record is from RNAcentral. Lineage: Eukaryota; Viridiplantae; Streptophyta; Magnoliopsida; Lamiales; Lamiaceae.